GAUGAAGAACGCAGCGAAAUGCGAUACGUAAUGUGAAUUGCAGAAUUCAGUGAAUCAUCGAGUCUUUGAACGCACAUUGCGCCCCCUGGUAUUCCGGGGGGCAUGCCUGUCCGAGCGUCAUUGCUGCCCUCAAGCACGGCUUGUGUGUUGGGCCUCCGUCCUCCUCCCGGGGGACGGGCCCGAAAGGCAGCGGCGGCACCGCGUCCGGUCCUCGAGCGUAUGGGGCUUCGUCACCCGCUCUUGUAGGCCCGGUCGGCGCUUGCCGACACAUCAAUCUUUUUUCCAGGUUGACCUCGGAUCAGGUGGGGAUACCCGCUGAACUUAAGCAUAUCAAUAAGCGGAGGA
Molecule: unclassified non-coding RNA, 345 nt
Filed under: soil metagenome
Description: partial contains 5.8S ribosomal RNA, internal transcribed spacer 2, and large subunit ribosomal RNA
Rfam family: 5.8S ribosomal RNA (bases 1-120)
Source: RNAcentral